GGGCGCGUAACUCAGUGGUAGAGUGCCACCUUCACACGGUGGAAGUCGUAGGUUCGAUACCUACCGCGCCCA
Molecule: transfer RNA, 72 nt
Filed under: Nannocystaceae bacterium
Lineage: Bacteria; Pseudomonadati; Myxococcota; Nannocystales; Nannocystaceae
Rfam family: tRNA
About the family: Transfer RNA (tRNA) molecules are approximately 80 nucleotides in length. Their secondary structure includes four short double-helical elements and three loops (D, anti-codon, and T loops).
Source: Rfam by way of RNAcentral